GGGUGGUCAGGCUCGCUGACUUGGUUGACACAUGUCAUCAUAUCCCAAUUGCACAGAUCGAUGCUCAUGCUUUUUAUUACUGGAUUAUCUGGUCCAGACU
This is a long non-coding RNA of Haliotis rubra (blacklip abalone), 100 nucleotides long. RefSeq lists it as uncharacterized. Lineage: Eukaryota; Metazoa; Mollusca; Gastropoda; Lepetellida; Haliotidae. The transcript has 3 exons. The record is from RefSeq and is a predicted model, not a curated record.